UCACUACAAGGCGCUUGGCCCAGUUGAUGAGGGUUGACCCCAUGACCCCAAGGUCAGUGGUUCAAACCCCAGCGCCCCCAUGUUGUUUUUGUUCUCUUUCUUUCUUUUAUUUUAUUUUCUCUUUUUUUCUUAUUUUAUUUAAUUUUCAUUUUAUUUAUUUCACCACUCAAAUUAAAAUUUUAAUCAAAAUAUUUUGUGGGCAGACUUG
RNAcentral lists this long non-coding RNA (208 nucleotides) under Lathyrus oleraceus (garden pea). Its description in RNAcentral is "Pisum sativum (pea) long non-coding RNA (PSAT_LNC030616)". Lineage: Eukaryota; Viridiplantae; Streptophyta; Magnoliopsida; Fabales; Fabaceae. The record is from RNAcentral.